GAUGAACGCUGGCGGCGUGCCUAAUACAUGCAAGUCGAGCGAACGGACGAGAAGCUUGCUUCUCUGAGGUUAGCGGCGGACGGGUGAGUAACACGUGGAUAACCUACCUAUAAUACUGGGAUAACUUCGGGAGACCGUAUCUAAUACCGGAUAAUAUUUUGAACCGCAUGGUUCAAAAGUGAAAGACGGUUUGGCUGUCACUUAGAGAUGGAUCCGCGCUGCAUUAGCUAGUUGGUAAGGUAACGGCUUACCAAGGCAACGAUGCAUAGCCGACCUGAGAGGGUGAUCGGCCACACUGGAACUGAGACACGGUCCAGACUCCUACGGGAGGCAGCAGUAGGGAAUCUUCCGCAAUGGGCGCAAGCCUGACGGAGCAACGCCGCGUGAGUGAUGAAGGUCUUCGGAUCGUAAAACUCUGUUAUUAGGGAAGAACAUAUGUGUAAGUAACUCUGCACGUCUUGACGGUACCUAAACAGAAAGCCACGGCUAACUACGUG
This 497-nucleotide ribosomal RNA is filed under the name uncultured bacterium. Its description in RNAcentral is "partial 16S ribosomal RNA". It matches the Rfam family "Bacterial small subunit ribosomal RNA", at positions 28 to 507 of the family's 1533-position model. The record is from RNAcentral.